This 441-nucleotide ribosomal RNA is filed under the name uncultured bacterium. RNAcentral's name for it is "partial 16S ribosomal RNA". It matches the Rfam family "Bacterial small subunit ribosomal RNA", at positions 339 to 795 of the family's 1533-position model. The record is from RNAcentral.
CUACGGGUUGCUGCAGUGGGGAAUAUUGGGCAAUGGGCGCAAGCCUGACCCAGCAACGCCGCGUGAGGGAAGAAGGUUUUCGGAUUGUAAACCUCUGUCCUUGGGGACGAAGAAGUGACGGUACCCAAGGAGGAAACUCCGGCUAACUACGUGCCAGCAGCCGUGGUAAUACGUAGGGAGCAAGCGUUGUCCGGAAUUACUGGGCGUAAAGGGUGCGUAGGCGGCAUAUUAAGUCAGGUGUGAAAUACUCGGGCUCAACCCGGGGGCUGCAUUUGAAACUGAUAUGCUUGAGUGUGAGAGAGGAAAGUGGAAUUCCUAGUGUAGCGGUGGAAUGCGUAGAUAUUAGGAGGAACACCAGUGGCGAAGGCGACUUUCUGGCUCAUAACUGACGCUGAGGCACGAAAGCGUGGGGAGCAAACAGGAUUAGAUACCCCCGUAGUC